Molecule: ribosomal RNA, 910 nt
Filed under: uncultured bacterium
Lineage: Bacteria
Description: bacterial SSU rRNA
Rfam family: Bacterial small subunit ribosomal RNA
Source: RNAcentral
AGAGUUUGAUCAUGGCUCAGAUUGAACGCUGGCGGCAUGCCUUACACAUGCAAGUCGAACGGCAGCACGGGGGCAACCCUGGUGGCGAGUGGCGAACGGGUGAGUAAUACAUCGGAACGUGCCCUGAAGUGGGGGAUAACGUAGCGAAAGUUACGCUAAUACCGCAUAUUCUGUGAGCAGGAAAGCAGGGGAUCGCAAGACCUUGCGCUUUAGGAGCGGCCGAUGUCGGAUUAGCUAGUUGGUGGGGUAAAGGCCCACCAAGGCGACGAUCCGUAGCGGGUCUGAGAGGAUGAUCCGCCACACUGGGACUGAGACACGGCCCAGACUCCUACGGGAGGCAGCAGUGGGGAAUUUUGGACAAUGGGCGCAAGCCUGAUCCAGCCAUGCCGCGUGAGUGAAGAAGGCCUUCGGGUUGUAAAGCUCUUUCGGCGGGGAAGAAAUCGCACAGGUUAAUACCCUGGGUGGAUGACGGUACCCGAAUAAGAAGCACCGGCUAACUACGUGCCAGCAGCCGCGGUAAUACGUAGGGUGCGAGCGUUAAUCGGAAUUACUGGGCGUAAAGCGUGCGCAGGCGGUUUUGUAAGUCAGAUGUGAAAUCCCCGGGCUCAACCUGGGAACUGCAUUUGAGACUGCAAGGCUAGAGUGUGGCAGAGGGGGGUGGAAUUCCACGUGUAGCAGUGAAAUGCGUAGAGAUGUGGAGGAACACCGAUGGCGAAGGCAGCCCCCUGGGCCAAUACUGACGCUCAUGCACGAAAGCGUGGGGAGCAAACAGGAUUAGAUACCCUGGUAGUCCACGCCCUAAACGAUGUCAACUAGGUGUUGGAAGGGUUAAACCUUUUAGUGCCGUAGCUAACGCGUGAAGUUGACCGCCUGGGGAGUACGGCCGCAAGGCUAAAACUCAAAGGAAUUG